RNAcentral lists this ribosomal RNA (403 nucleotides) under uncultured bacterium. RNAcentral's name for it is "bacterial SSU rRNA". It matches the Rfam family "Bacterial small subunit ribosomal RNA", at positions 355 to 774 of the family's 1533-position model. The record is from RNAcentral.
UAGGGAAUAUUGCAAAAUGGGCGAAAGCCCGAUGCAGCAACGCCGCGUGGGCGAUGAAGGCCUUCGGGUCGUAAAGCCCUUUUUGAGGGGAUGAGGAAGGACAGUACCCUCAGAAUAAGCCUCGGCUAACUACGUGCCAGCAGCCGCGGUAAAACGUAGGAGGCGAGCGUUAUCCGGAUUUACUGUGCGUAAAGCGCGUGCAGGCGGAUUGGAGAGUUGGAUGUGAAAGCUCCCGGCUUAACUGGGAGAGGUCGUUCAAUACUUCCAGUCUUGAGUGCAGUAGAGGGAAGUGGAAUUCCGGGUGUAGUGGUGAAAUGCGUAGAUAUCCGGAGGAACACCAGUGGCGAAAGCGGCUUCCUGGACUGUAACUGACGCUCAGACGCGAAAGCUAGGGUAGCAAACG